UGUUGGGGACGUGUUGGGGACAGGUGUCCCCGAUGUGGUUUCCGAGGGGUCCCUGUCGCCAGCGAGUUGUCGCCCCUGCCUGACGACCUGGUU
This is an unclassified non-coding RNA of Dipodomys ordii (Ord's kangaroo rat), 93 nucleotides long. Lineage: Eukaryota; Metazoa; Chordata; Mammalia; Rodentia; Heteromyidae. The record is from Ensembl.